AGCCGCGGUAAUUCCAGCUCCACAAGUGUAAAUCGUCAUUGCUGCGGUAUAAGCUCGUAGUUGGAUCUCAGUUACGUACUUUGAUUCGCCUUUGGCGUUAAUCAUUGUCGUGACUAUUUUGUUGGUUUUCUGUUGGUGGCCUCGGCUCCUUCAGUGGCUAACGAGUUUACUUUGAAUAAAUUAUAGUGCUCAAAACAAGCGUUUGCUUGAAUGCUCGAUCAUGGAAUAAUAAAAGAGGACUUCGGUUCUUUUUGUUGGUUCAAGAACUGAAUUAAUGGUUAAGAGGGACAACUCGGGGGCAUUCGUAUCCCUGCGCGAGAGGUGAAAUUCGUGGACCGCAGGGGGACGCCCUACAGCGAAAGCAUUUGCCAAGAAUGUCUUCAUUAAUCAAGAACGAAAGUCAGAGGUUCGAAGGCGAUUAGAUACCGCCCCUAGUUCUGACCGUAAACUAUGCCAUCUAUCGAUCCAAUGUUCUAUUGUAGCCUUGUUGGGGAGCUUCCCGGAAACGAAAGUCUUUCCGGUUCCUGGGGUAGUAUGGUUGCAAAGCUGAAACUUAAAGAAAUUGACGGAAGGGCACCACCAGGAGUGGAGCCUGCGGCUUAAUUUGACUCAACACGGGAAAACUCACCCGGCCCGGACACCGUUAGGAUUGACAGAUUGAAAGCUCUUUCUCGAUUUGGUGGUUGGUGGUGCAUGGCCGUUCUUAGUUGGUGGAGCGAUUUGUCUGGUUUAUUCCGAUAACGAGCGAGACUCUAGCCUGCUAAAUAGUAUCCAGAUUUUCAGGUCUGGUUGACUCUUAGAGGAUAAGCGGUGUAGCCGUUUAACGGCAGGAAAUGACGAUUUACAACUU
RNAcentral lists this ribosomal RNA (850 nucleotides) under Heterorhabditis indica. RNAcentral's name for it is "SSU rRNA". It matches the Rfam family "Eukaryotic small subunit ribosomal RNA", at positions 572 to 1412 of the family's 1831-position model. Lineage: Eukaryota; Metazoa; Nematoda; Chromadorea; Rhabditida; Heterorhabditidae. The record is from RNAcentral.